UGCAGAUUGUUUGCCUGGGAGCAGA
Molecule: non-coding RNA, 25 nt
Filed under: Mus musculus (house mouse)
Lineage: Eukaryota; Metazoa; Chordata; Mammalia; Rodentia; Muridae
Source: RNAcentral